Molecule: ribosomal RNA, 215 nt
Filed under: Olea europaea subsp. europaea
Lineage: Eukaryota; Viridiplantae; Streptophyta; Magnoliopsida; Lamiales; Oleaceae
Description: LSU_rRNA_bacteria
Rfam family: Eukaryotic large subunit ribosomal RNA
Source: RNAcentral
GACAAGGGAAAUUCAAUUGUUUAAUUAAAACAAAGCAUUGCAAUGGUCCCUACGGAUGCUCACGCAAUGUGAUUUUUGCCCAGUGCUCUGAAUGUUAAAGUGAAGAAAUUCAACCAAGCGCGGGUAAACGACUGGAGUAACUAUGACUCUCUUAAGGUAGCCAAAUACCUCGUCAUCUAAUUAGUGAUGCACAUGACUGGAUUAACAAGAUUCCC